This 274-nucleotide ribosomal RNA is filed under the name uncultured bacterium. Its description in RNAcentral is "partial 16S ribosomal RNA". It matches the Rfam family "Bacterial small subunit ribosomal RNA", at positions 523 to 796 of the family's 1533-position model. The record is from RNAcentral.
CUACGGAGGGUGCAAGCGUUACUCGGAAUCACUGGGCGUAAAGCGCGCGCAGGCGGUCUUUUAAGUUGGAUGUGAAAGCCUACGGCUCAACCGUAGAACUGCAUCCAAAACUAUUAGACUAGAGUGUGGGAGAGGAAGAUGGAAUUAGUUGUGUAGGGGUAAAAUCCGUAGAGAUAACUAGGAAUACCAAAAGCGAAGGCAAUCUCCUGGAACACUACUGACGCUGAGGCGCGAAAGCGUGGGGAGCAAACAGGAUUAGAUACCCUAGUAGUCC